AGUGAACGCUGGCGGUAGGCCUAACACAUGCAAGUCGAACGGCAGCACAGUAAGAUUUUUCUUUUACUGUUGGCGAGUGGCGGACGGGUGACGAAUACAUCGGAAUCUUCUUUUUCUUGGGUGAUAACGUAGGGCAACUUACGCUAAUACCGCAUACUUCCUACGGGUUAAAUCAGUGGUUCUUCGGACCUUUCGCGUUUCAAUUAGCCGAUUUCGGAUUAGCUAGUUGGCUUGGUAAAGGCCCACCAAGGCGACGAUCCGUAGCUGAUCUGAGAGGAUGAUCAGCCACACUGGAACUGAGACACGGUCCAGACUCCUACGGGAGGCAGCAGUGGGGAAUAUUGGACAAUGGGCGAAAGCCUGAUCCAGCAAUACCGCGUGGGUGAAGAAGGCCUUCGGGUUGUAAAGCCCUUUUGUUGGGAAAGAAAAGAAGCAGGUUAAUACGCGGAUGUUGUGACGGUACCCAAAGAAUAAGCACCGGCUAACUUCGUG
RNAcentral lists this ribosomal RNA (492 nucleotides) under uncultured bacterium. RNAcentral describes it as "partial 16S ribosomal RNA". It matches the Rfam family "Bacterial small subunit ribosomal RNA", at positions 29 to 507 of the family's 1533-position model. The record is from RNAcentral.